Molecule: unclassified non-coding RNA, 875 nt
Filed under: Hevea brasiliensis (rubber tree)
Lineage: Eukaryota; Viridiplantae; Streptophyta; Magnoliopsida; Malpighiales; Euphorbiaceae
Source: RNAcentral
AAACACUCCAACCCUUUUCAUGAGGAUAAUUGAAUAUUAGGUACAUAAAAAAAAAGAGAGAAAAAGAAAAAAAAUUCAGAGACAAAAAUCGAGCCUUGUAUUUGUAUCCCUGAAUUUUGCUCUUUAGAUUGGUUCCGAUUAUCUAUAAAUUCUGGUUUAUCGAAGUUGGUGAGCUCAACAGAGUCGAGUUACGAAGAAUUGGAGAACUGUCUCUGCGUGGGUUUCAGAAGAGAAGAGACGUGAGGAAAUGUGGGGAUUUGGGGGAAGUUGUUAUUGGGGGAGAAGGGAAAAGAAAAGGGAAGGGAUAGUGGUGGUAUUUGCUUGGAUGUCGAGCCAAGAGAAGCACGUGAAGAGCUACGUCGACCUCUAUUCGUUGCGUGGCUGGGAUUCACUUGUUUGUCAUUCCCAAUUCCUCAAUAUGUUCUUUCCUGAGAAGGCUGAAGCUUUAGCAUUUGAUAUCCUCAACAUACUUACUGAGGAGCUAAAAAUUAAGUCAUGCCCUCUAGUCUUUGCAUCCUUUUCUGGAGGUCCAAAGGCCUGUAUGUACAAGGUUCUUCAGGUAACUACCUCACACUUCUGUGCUUGAAUGCUAUCAAUGGAAUUUCUAUGGAUGAUAAAUUUAUUUUUGCAUUGCAGAUUAUUGAGGGAAAGUGUAAAUUACAACUGAAUUUGGUACGUCAGUCUUUUGCAAUCAAUAGUUGGAGUUUUUCCUUCUCUACAAGAAAUGUUACCAUUUUUCCUUUCUCUACAUGAAACGUUACUUGAAGAUAACAUUGUCUAAUUUUUUUUUGCUAGUGUUUUGUGAUCCAUGGACUUAAAUACUGUGUUUUUUAUUUUUUUUAUUUCUUCAAUAUAAAGGAUGACUGCCGACUGGU